GAGACAUAACAUGAAAAACCCACUUUUUUAUCCAUUAACACGGUGUGUUUCACAUUUUAAGUGUCUAAGUGAGCAAAAAGGCUUAUAUUAUUCACUGGAGUUGCUAUUUAGAUAUUUAAUAAUUAAGUUUUGGGCAUAUUUGUCCACCCGUUCAGUUUUUACAUUAUCUAUUACAUCAGUAAUUAAUUUAGUGAGGAUAACUACCAAAUAUGGUAAUGGCCCUCGGCUAAACACAGAGCCAAUCCGCCAUUUUUUCUUCUCGCUAAGAUUUUUUGUAGUCCUAUUGGAAAAAUGCAGAAUGUCUGGUUAUUUUAGCCACACACAGCUCAAAACUGUUCCUCGUUUUAAGGAAGGGUGGUGUGGCAGUAUUUAAACCCAGGAGCUGAUGACACUACUGCUAAAAAAAACACAGAAGAAAAAGUAGUGUGUUUGCGUUUGUUUGUUUGUGUGUGUGUGUGUGUGCGUGCGUGCGCGCGCGCGCGUGGUUCGUUCGUUCUGUCUCCAGGCUAGUGGCUAAGUACUGAGGGCUUCAUCUAUCUAAAAGGAGUUAUUUCCAUCUGAAUUUGGCAGCACCGGGACACAGCAGCAGAGCGAGUCCACAUCCAGAAGACUGGAGUCGUGUUUCACUGACAGGCUGUCAGACUAACGCCCUGAUGAGCUCAGCUGGGACAAACUGGUCUGAUGUUUAGGAACACAGAACGUUCAGAUGUUGGCGUUUCACGUCACCUACUGAGGAAGGAGACCCACCAGUAAAGAGACGGUCUGGACCAGACCAAAAAUAUGGCGAUGACAUCAUGGAACUGGUCUUUGGAAAAGUUUUCCCUGAACCAACUCCGUUUCUAGAUGAGGUAGAGAAGAUCUGCAUCUCACCAACUCUCUGGUCUCAGUAUUCAGACAACGGAGGUCUCCCACUGUUGUCCAGGACCAGUUUGAAGCCCACAUACUGCCCCUCCCUCAUCAUCAGGAAACAUCAAUCCGUAUCCUGAGGACAACAGAAGACGGCAGGAGGACAGGAACUCUGAGACCUAGACACCACCAGCACCGAGACACAAAGCACCUGUGUGCACAACGCCUGUUUUAACUACUAAAGCCUGUUUAUUAUAUUGUUCUACUUAUUUGCUGUGAGGUUAAUACUUAGAAAAUUUGUAUAUUAAUGUAAACAAUAAAAAAAAUCACUGAUUGUA
Nothobranchius furzeri (turquoise killifish) is the source of this 1184-nucleotide non-coding RNA. The record is from RefSeq and is a predicted model, not a curated record. Lineage: Eukaryota; Metazoa; Chordata; Actinopteri; Cyprinodontiformes; Nothobranchiidae.